AAGCGGAGGAAAAGAAACCAACAGGGAUUGCCCUAGUAACGGCGAGUGAAGCGGCAACAGCUCAAAUUUGAAAGCUGGCUUAGGCCCGCAUUGUAAUUUGCAGAGGAUGCUUCUGGCGAGGUGCCUUCCGAGUUCCCUGGAACGGGACGCCAUAGAGGGUGAGAGCCCCGUAUGGAUGGACACCAGACCUGUGUGAAGCUCCUUCAACGAGUCGAGUAGUUUGGGAAUGCUGCUCUAAAUGGGAGGUAAAUCUCUUCUAAAGCUAAAUACCGGCCAGAGACCGAUAGCGCACAAGUAGAGUGAUCGAAAGAUGAAAAGCACCUUGAAAAGGGGGUUAAACAGUACGUGAAAUUGUUGAAAGGGAAGCGCUUGUGACCAGACUUGCGCCGGGCAGCUCAUCAGGGGUUCUCCCCUGUGCACUCUGCCCGGCUCAGGCCAGCAUCGGUUCUCGUGGGAGGAUAAGAACGGUAGGAACGUGGCCCCCCUCCGGGGGGGUGUUAUAGCCUGCCGUACGAUACUCCCGUGGGGACCGAGGUUCGCGCUCCGCAAGGAUGCUGGCGUAAUGGUCAUCAGCGACCCG
This 580-nucleotide ribosomal RNA is filed under the name Cytospora sp. RM-2019b. Its description in RNAcentral is "partial large subunit ribosomal RNA". It matches the Rfam family "Eukaryotic large subunit ribosomal RNA", at positions 48 to 651 of the family's 3401-position model. The record is from RNAcentral. Lineage: Eukaryota; Fungi; Ascomycota; Sordariomycetes; Diaporthales; Cytosporaceae.